This 497-nucleotide ribosomal RNA is filed under the name uncultured bacterium. RNAcentral's name for it is "partial 16S ribosomal RNA". It matches the Rfam family "Bacterial small subunit ribosomal RNA", at positions 28 to 507 of the family's 1533-position model. The record is from RNAcentral.
GACGAACGCUGGCGGCGUGCCUAAUACAUGCAAGUCGAACGCUGAAGAGAGGAGCUUGCUCUUCUUGGAUGAGUUGCGAACGGGUGAGUAACGCGUAGGUAACCUGCCUUGUAGCGGGGGAUAACUAUUGGAAACGAUAGCUAAUACCGCAUAACAAUGGAUGACACAUGUCAUUUAUUUGCAAGGGGCAAUUGCUCCACUACAAGAUGGACCUGCGUUGUAUUAGCUAGUAGGUGAGGUAAUGGCCCACCUAGGCGACGAUACAUAGCCGACCUGAGAGGGUGGUCGGCCACCCUGGGACUGAGACACGGCCCAGACUCCUUCGGGAGGCAGCCGUAGGGGAUCUUUGGCAAUGGGGGCAACCCUGACCGAGCAACGCCGCGUGAGUGAAGAAGGUUUUCGGAUCGUAAAGCUCUGUUGUAAGUCAAGAACGGGUGUGAGAGUGGAAAGUUCACACUGUGACGGUAGCUUACCAGAAAGAGACGGCUAACUACGUG